GCAAACUUAGAAGCAAACUUUGUUUCACUUAGGCAUAUAUUUAGUAUUUUAAAGUGGUAAUCGCUUCGCAUUGGAGUGUUACCACAAUUGUGUAAUCAAGUCUGUGAUUGAGUCUGUAAUCGAGUUUUGAGCACUUCGGAAGGAAGUUAAUCCUGCCGCCAUUUUCAUUUCUGCUUUGCAAUUUAUUCAACCCUCCGAUUGGAGCAGGUUUUUAUUACUUGUC
This 223-nucleotide long non-coding RNA is filed under the name Lathyrus oleraceus (garden pea). RNAcentral's name for it is "Pisum sativum (pea) long non-coding RNA (PSAT_LNC042039)". The record is from RNAcentral. Lineage: Eukaryota; Viridiplantae; Streptophyta; Magnoliopsida; Fabales; Fabaceae.